AUUGAACGCUGGCGGAAUGCUUUACACAUGCAAGUCGAACGGCAGCACGGGAGCUUGCUCCUGGUGGCGAGUGGCGAACGGGUGAGUAAUGCGUCGGAACGUACCGAGUAAUGGGGGAUAACGCACCGAAAGGUGUGCUAAUACCGCAUACGCCCCGAGGGGGAAAGCAGGGGAUCGCAAGACCUUGCGUUAUUCGAGCGGCCGACGUCUGAUUAGCUAGUUGGUGAGGUAAUGGCUCACCAAGGCGACGAUCAGUAGCGGGUCUGAGAGGAUGAUCCGCCACACUGGAACUGAGACACGGUCCAGACUCCUACGGGAGGCAGCAGUGGGGAAUUUUGGACAAUGGGGGCAACCCUGAUCCAGCCAUUCCGCGUGAGUGAAGAAGGCCUUCGGGUUGUAAAGCUCUUUCAGCUGGAACGAAACGGUACGCUCUAACAUAGCGUGCUAAUGACGGUACCAGCAGAAGAAGCACCGGCUAACUACGUG
Molecule: ribosomal RNA, 486 nt
Filed under: uncultured bacterium
Lineage: Bacteria
Description: bacterial SSU rRNA
Rfam family: Bacterial small subunit ribosomal RNA
Source: RNAcentral